RNAcentral lists this ribosomal RNA (497 nucleotides) under uncultured bacterium. RNAcentral's name for it is "partial 16S ribosomal RNA". It matches the Rfam family "Bacterial small subunit ribosomal RNA", at positions 28 to 507 of the family's 1533-position model. The record is from RNAcentral.
GAUGAACGCUGGCGGCGUGCCUAAUACAUGCCAGUCGAGCGAACAGAUGAGGAGCUUGCUCCUCUGACGUUAGCGGCGGACGGGUGAGUAACACGUGGAUAACCUACCUAUAAGACUGGGAUAACUUCGGGAAACCGGAGCUAAUACCGGAUAAUAUAUUGAACCGCAUGGUUCAAUAGUGAAAGACGGUUUUGCUGUCACUUAUAGAUGGAUCCGCGCCGCAUUAGCUAGUUGGUAAGGUAACGGCUUACCAAGGCAACGAUGCGUAGCCGACCUGAGAGGGUGAUCGGCCACACUGGAACUGAGACACGGUCCAGACUCCUACGGGAGGCAGCAAUAGGGAAUCUUCCGCAAUGGGCGAAAGCCUGACGGAGCAACGCCGCGUGAGUGAUGAAGGUCUUCGGAUCGUAAAACUCUGUUAUUAGGGAAGAACAAAUGUGUAAGUAACUAUGCACGUCUUGACGGUACCUAAUCAGAAAGCCACGGCUAACUACGUG